This 752-nucleotide ribosomal RNA is filed under the name uncultured bacterium. RNAcentral's name for it is "bacterial SSU rRNA". It matches the Rfam family "Bacterial small subunit ribosomal RNA", at positions 67 to 797 of the family's 1533-position model. The record is from RNAcentral.
CGCGAAAGCCCCUUCGGGGGCGAGUAGAGUGGCGCACGGGUGAGUAACACGUGGGUAAUCUGCCUUCGAGUGGGGAAUAACGGCCCGAAAGGGUCGCUAAUACCGCAUAACGCAGCGGCACCGCAUGGUGACAGUUGUUAAAGCAGGGGACCCCGCAAGGGGCCUUGCGCUUGAAGAGGAGCCCGCGCCCGAUUAGCUAGUUGGCGAGGUAAGAGCUCACCAAGGCUCCGAUCGGUAGCCGGCCUGAGAGGGCGGUCGGUCACACUGACACUGACAUACGGGUCAGACUCCUACGGGAGGCAGCAGUCGGGAAUUUUGGGCAAUGGGCGAAAGCCUGACCCAGCAACGCCGCGUGAAGGAUGAAGCUUUUCGGAGUGUAAACUUCACAAGAAUGGGAAGAAUAAGGAAGGGAUAAUACCCCUUUCGAUGACGGUACCAUUUGUAAGCUCCGGCUAACUCCGUGCCAGCAGCCGCGGUAAUACGGGGGGAGCAAGCGUUGUUCGGAUUUACUGGGCGUAAAGGGCGCGUAGGCGGCGCGACAAGUCGCUUGUGAAAUCUCUGGGCUCAACCCAGAACGGUCAAGUGAUACUGUCGUGCUAGAGUGCGGAAGGGGCAACUGGAAUUCUUGGUGUAGCGGUGAAAUGCGUAGAUAUCAAGAGGAACACCUGCGGCGAAGGCGGGUUGCUGGGCCGACACUGACGCUGAAGCGCGAAAGCUAGGGGAGCGAACGGGAUAGAUACCCCGGUAGUCCU